AAUUUAAGAAAUUAAGUACAUCAAACGAAAGUGUUUAAGAAUUUUAUAAACUAAGAAAUUUGAUUUUAAAAUUUUUGAAGUGCAUACAACAAAUGAAUGUUCUAGAUCGUUCAUGAUGGGAAUUUUGUACAGUGUUCUUUCCUUGGAUGCCUUAAUGCAAACUUUGAGCAGAACAUAAUUUGGGUGCUAAUUUCGAACUUCUGUAGGUAUUGCAAUCGGAGGAGAUGUGUUCCCACGCUUUACCCUCUUCGAUCAUGUUUUGCGGUUUUCUUUUCAAAACUUUUUCCCUCUCCGAUCAUGUUUUGCGAUUUCCUUUUCAAAACUUUUCUCAAAAAUUAGAUAUGUAUAAAUUUGAGAAACAAAAAUGUAAACGGAGAAAAAAUUGAGCAAACAAAAAUUACGUGAAAAAAAGAGAGCUAAAGACCUAGAUGAAUAAAACCCAAUUGGAGAAAUACCAAAACCAGAAAACCCAGAUGAAGAAAUGGCACACGAAGAAGAACACCCGGAGUGCGACACAGUUGGUGAUGAGGCAGCCAGAACAGAGGGCGGAGAGAGAGAUAAAAGAGGAAGAGGAUAGAAACCCUAUUAAUUUUAGAUCUAAAUGUUG
RNAcentral lists this long non-coding RNA (607 nucleotides) under Panax ginseng (ginseng). Its description in RNAcentral is "long non-coding RNA (PGIN_LNC000890)". The record is from RNAcentral. Lineage: Eukaryota; Viridiplantae; Streptophyta; Magnoliopsida; Apiales; Araliaceae.